ACGGCGCCUGCGGCGUGCAUAGGUCCAUACGUACCAUGGGAGCAGGGUGCUGCUGGCCUGGGGAGGGGGAAGGUGGAGUUUGGCUCUAUUCUCGGGCUCCUCCUUCCGUUUUCGUUUUCUGGCGUACUUGGCCUGUCACUAAGAGGUACAUUAAUGGCCAGAGUGAGCCGGCGUCCGAAGCUCCCUGCUUGGGAGGAGGAGGGUACAUUGCAGGGCUUGAAGUACUGGGAAGAAAGUCUGAAGUAACUGCAAAGUUAACAAAUCUUUCCUGCAAUCAUCAUUUGGCCCUGUUUGAAUCACCAGUUGUAACUAUCACUUGAUGAUUUGAUAUCUGAAGUAAAGCAAGUUAAUCAUUUAAAAAUAUUUCUGCAUAAAAUUUAUCAUGUUUAUCACCAGUCUAACAAAAACCAAACUGACCUAGAAAUGGUAGCUAAAGAACCUAAAAUUGAAGUGAUUAAAAUUGCUGGAAUACUGGGAUGAGACAGAUGGAUGGUAUGUGGAUUGCAAGCUGCUGCUGCUGCUGCUGUGUGGCAUACAGAGCCUGCGUUAUACAUACAUUUUCUUCAUUCUGAUUCUGCUUUUGCAGAGAAGUUAACUAACAUUGAUUUCUUGUAAGACUUUGUUCUAAUGAAUUAUCCUUCUUGAAGAAUUUUCAUUACUUUCAACUGCAGCAUUUCAUUUGCAGUCAAGAUCCAGUAACAUUCAGAAAGCACAAAAAUUAAUCAAGAGAUCUGGAAACAUAAAGAGCUAUACCAUACGUUAAGAGCUCUGGAAAACUUCAAUUGGUACUGGAAAGCACGGAUCUCAAGUUGAAAAUUUGGUAAAGUCAAAUAAGUUUACAGACAUUCCUUUAACAAAGAGGAUAAGCUACUUGGCCUUAUGAAGAACUAACUUCACUAUGGAUUGCUAGUAAUGUGUGUGUGUGCGCGUGCGCACACGCAUAAUCUAAGUGAAAUUUUAAAACAUGAAAUUGAUUUGCAUGAUUUUUGAGGUUUUGUAAAUAAUUUAAAUAAAAAAAUGUUCCAGGUCCUACA
Molecule: long non-coding RNA, 1034 nt
Filed under: Vombatus ursinus (common wombat)
Lineage: Eukaryota; Metazoa; Chordata; Mammalia; Diprotodontia; Vombatidae
Description: lncRNA (ENSVURG00010002522.1)
Source: RNAcentral